RNAcentral lists this long non-coding RNA (939 nucleotides) under Triticum aestivum (bread wheat). RNAcentral's name for it is "long non-coding RNA (TAES_LNC003429)". Lineage: Eukaryota; Viridiplantae; Streptophyta; Magnoliopsida; Poales; Poaceae. The record is from RNAcentral.
UUAAGAGCAACUCCCAAAAUUUCAGAGAAGAGUCAAACUGACAGAUCUAGCAGGUUUUAUCAUUGUCAGAAUAGCAUAAAUGAAAUAUAUGAAAACAUGAUAGAAAAUCUUGAAGCGAAUGGAUAACCAAUAAGCCAGCCACCCCAAUUCACGCACCUAUGUGAUAGCACGCUCCCCACGCCCCGGUUGCAAGCGAAUGCGCCGCCGCAGGCAGCGAGUUCUGCACAACCAUUGGCGCGGGUGUCUUCCCCGUCACCGGAGCUAAAAAGUUCAGAGGGUGAGGCAGCUAACCCAUGUAGCACAUACACCUUAAAACUGGAACCACGAGCCAUGUAUGAUGGAAAGUAACCAGUUCAAAAUCCAUCCAGCUCGCUCUAGAACUACAUACAACGAUGGACAUUUUAACAUCAAAAUUUAAAAAUAUGAAACGACCGACAACGGCACUAGCCAGAACACCAACAAUGCACAUGAGCUAAAGAGAAAGUUGGGUAGCAGGGUGAAGAACUCGCAGCAAAUCAAAAAAAAUGUAACAGCAAUCUCACCUUCGAGCAACCAUAAAAUCAACUUCAACGCAUGUGGUUAUCCCAAUCUGCAGGUAGCUCUCCAGACAAAUCUGGCCUUGUGGAAGAGGAUGGGGGAAACGAAAUAAAAACUACUACAAUUCCCACAAAUCCACUUCAAUUUGGCGACAUGGCGCAGGAGGGUUGUUGCCGUGUGUGCCUGGGAGGCGAAGGUUGCAUGGUGGGAGACAAAUGAGCGAUUCCUCAUCCAUGAAUUACAUAUUAGCACCUGCAUAAUUGUCGCACGGCCCGUGAUGGAUGAGCUCCACAGGUGACGCCCAUGACCUCCGGAGAAGGGGUGGGAGUCGAGUGGAGGUCCUCGCUGGGGAAGGGUUGGGGCGGUGGGAUCUAGAUCGAGAUGAAGACGAGAGAGAGAGAG